RNAcentral lists this ribosomal RNA (516 nucleotides) under Xanthomonas axonopodis. RNAcentral describes it as "bacterial SSU rRNA". It matches the Rfam family "Bacterial small subunit ribosomal RNA", at positions 386 to 892 of the family's 1533-position model. Lineage: Bacteria; Pseudomonadati; Pseudomonadota; Gammaproteobacteria; Lysobacterales; Lysobacteraceae. The record is from RNAcentral.
UUCCAGCAAAUGCCGCGUGUGUGAAGAAGGCCUUCGGGUUGUAAAGCCCUUUUGUUGGGAAAGAAAAGCAGUCGGUUAAUACCCGAUUGUUCUGACGGUACCCAAAGAAUAAGCACCGGCUAACUUCGUGCCAGCAGCCGCGGUAAUACGAAGGGUGCAAGCGUUACUCGGAAUUACUGGGCGUAAAGCGUGCGUAGGUGGUGGUUUAAGUCUGUUGUGAAAGCCCUGGGCUCAACCUGGGAAUUGCAGUGGAUACUGGAUCACUAGAGUGUGGUAGAGGGUAGCGGAAUUCCCGGUGUAGCAGUGAAAUGCGUAGAGAUCGGGAGGAACAUCCGUGGCGAAGGCGGCUACCUGGACCAACACUGACACUGAGGCACGAAAGCGUGGGGAGCAAACAGGAUUAGAUACCCUGGUAGUCCACGCCCUAAACGAUGCGAACUGGAUGUUGGGUGCAAUUUGGCACGCAGUAUCGAAGCUAACGCGUUAAGUUCGCCGCCUGGGGAGUACGGUCGCAAG